This 1293-nucleotide ribosomal RNA is filed under the name Triticum aestivum (bread wheat). Its description in RNAcentral is "partial small subunit ribosomal RNA". Lineage: Eukaryota; Viridiplantae; Streptophyta; Magnoliopsida; Poales; Poaceae. The record is from RNAcentral.
AUGGCUCAGACGCGGUGGUGUCGACGUGCACCUCCCUCGCGGAGGUCGUCCGACGGCAGCCUGCGAGGUGGCGGAUCUGGGGCCCUCGCGCCCGGAUCUUGUGCUGUGAGUGGCCUCGGCGACUUGGCGGUUGCUGGCAGGGGGCCUCCAUGGUGGCGAGCUGCUGUACGGCUGGCCCAGAGCCGGCCGGAGUGCGGUCUCGACGGCGCCAUUGUGGAGGAAGGUGGGUUGCAGUGGUUUCUGCAGCCGGUGGUGGUUGGCGGCGACGUGCUGCCUUGCGUGCUUGGUCAUGUGGCUUGGGCGAGGACGAUCGACAUGAUGCCGGAGACGGUUUGCUGGGCGGGCUGCGGUGAGGAUGGAUUUGGUCUGGUCCUUCAUCAGUUCGCUGUGGCUCGGGUGGCUUUGUGGGUUCUUCGUUGGCCAGGCGUCUGCGCGGCCUCGGGGCUGGUGAGGAAGUCGGAGCAGCGGCUCCGGAGAACAUCACCGUGGAGUUUCUUAUCUGGUCGCAUGGGCGUUAACGUCAUCAGCUCAUGUGGAGCGCGGCCUCAGGGCCGGUGGGGAAGUCGGAGGGGCGGCUGCGGAGAGCACCUCUGUGUUGUGGAGCGUCGGUUUUGGUCGUGUGGACGGCAGAGUCGUCGACUCGCAUGGACUGCGGCCUCGGGGCCGACGUGUGAAAAUAGAAAUCGUGUGGCAAAAUUGCCAAUCUGGGGCCAGAGCUGGAUCCAGGUCAUCUCUAGGGUGCACUACUACCUGUCCCUCUCCGGCUCCCCCGAGAACCUCCUCCACACUCUCAAGGGCCGCUUUUGCUUUCUCGGUUCUGACCUCAAGAGAAUAGCGUUGCACGCUGUUGCAUUCCAAAGCAAGGAGAAGGUUGCCGCUAAAGUGGAGUACUUGAGGAACACCUUCAGUUGGUCACAUGCCGAGGUGGGCAUUGCGGUGUCCCUAAGGAAUUCAAAGGACAAGCUGCAACGCAUGUCCGAGUUCUUCAUCUCGGAGGUGGGGCUGGAACCGAACUAUACUGCUCAACAACUAGUAAUGCUCGGGUUUAGUUUAGAUGGAUGGCUCAGGCCCCGGUACUACGUUAUAAAGUUUCUCAAGGAAAAUGGAUUGCUCAAGCGUGUCCAAAGAUGCAGUACAAUUUUCCAUUCCGUCGAGAAGUUAUUCAUGGACAAGUACAUAUGCCCUCACAAGGAAGCUGCACCUCACCCUGCUGAAGACUAUGCUGCCGCCUGCAGAUGUGAAAUGCAAACUGCUUUCGAAUUCAUGAACCAAAAAUGUAGUAUCGAACCAUGA